RNAcentral lists this unclassified non-coding RNA (139 nucleotides) under uncultured Helotiales. RNAcentral's name for it is "sequence contains ITS2". Lineage: Eukaryota; Fungi; Ascomycota; Leotiomycetes; Helotiales. The record is from RNAcentral.
AACCACUCACGCCUGGCGUGGUAUUGGGGCACGCGGUCUCCGCGGCCCUCAAAAUUAGUGGCGGUGCCGGUGGGCUCUAAGCGUAGUACAUACUCCCGCUAUAGAGUUCCCCCGGUGGCUCGCCAGAACCCCCUUCUAU